CACAGAUGGCCUCCACCACACUGAACUUGAACAAGAUAAGCAAGGUCCUCUAGCAAGAGGAGGAAGUUAGGGUUACCCCUGACCAAAGAUGGGAAGAAAGGGGCUUCUGUCUGUAGCGGCCCGGCCCUCACUGCACACAGUAGGCGCUCAGCACGGCAUUCCCGUGGGACCGUGGACGUUCGCUGCCCUCUCAGAACCGCCGGACGCCACCAGCACUCAGAACCCCGCGUCAGGUUCUGGCCUCCCAACGCCUCCGUACCUGGCCUCCGUGCCCCGGUGAGCUCAUCAGCAGAUUGGCUCCAUGAUUUGGGGGGACCACAAUGCAAAAUUAAAUGAGAGGCCCCUUGGUCAAAAAUGACCGAGGGACAAUGUAGGAAACAAGCCCCAGUCCUGCCCACUGAGGACGAACUGCAAGAGCGUGAAAGUGACACGUCCGUGGGUAAACUGAGGCAGGGGACAUCAGUCACAGAGGAGAGAAGAUAAGGCUCAAAUCUGGAGUGGAAGGAGGUGAGGGACAAGACACAGCAGGAGCAGAAAGACCAUCAGGUGUGCAAAACCAAAGCAGUGACCUAAAUCUGAGCAGUGACCAGCUCAAAUCAGAGCUGGCCUCAGGUUGCCUGGGGGACCCCUAGGGCUUCAGAGGGGUGCAACUGGGUCUCAGGACUUAGGCGAUGCAGUCUAGCCAGGCCUCUCAGGCUCUUCCCUCCUAAUGACACCUGUUGCAAGAGGGUAACAUCAAGCCUCCCACAGUCUAUCUCCAGGGAGCCACCACCACCUCCCCCAGCACAAUGGGCCAGACCAGGCUGCAUCUAGGAACAUGGAUAUCUGGACCCAGGUCUCAGAGAACUGGUAUGCAUUGACAUGGAGACCAGCUAUUUGCCCAGGAGUCAGGGUACGCUCUGUCUGUCCCACCCAAGGGAAGCAUCUGCCCCAUCCCUAUAAACCUUCACU
Molecule: long non-coding RNA, 951 nt
Filed under: Zalophus californianus (California sea lion)
Lineage: Eukaryota; Metazoa; Chordata; Mammalia; Carnivora; Otariidae
Description: lncRNA (ENSZCAG00015012942.1)
Source: RNAcentral